RNAcentral lists this ribosomal RNA (467 nucleotides) under uncultured bacterium. RNAcentral's name for it is "partial 16S ribosomal RNA". It matches the Rfam family "Bacterial small subunit ribosomal RNA", at positions 28 to 506 of the family's 1533-position model. The record is from RNAcentral.
GACGAACGCUGGCGGCGUGCUUAACACAUGCAAGUCGAACGGAAAGGCCCUGCUUUUGUGGGGUGCUCGAGUGGCGAACGGGUGAGUAACACGUGAGUAACCUGCCCUUGACUUUGGGAUAACUUCAGGAAACUGGGGCUAAUACCGGAUAGGAGCUCCUGCUGCAUGGUGGGGGUUGGAAAGUUUCGGCGGUUGGGGAUGGACUCGCGGCUUAUCAGCUUGUUGGUGGGGUAGUGGCUUACCAAGGCUUUGACGGGUAGCCGGCCUGAGAGGGUGACCGGCCACAUUGGGACUGAGAUACGGCCCAGACUCCUACGGGAGGCAGCGGUGGGGAAUAUUGCACAAUGGGCGGAAGCCUGAUGCAGCAACGCCGCGUGCGGGAUGACGGCCUUCGGGUUGUAAACCGCUUUCGCCUGUGACGAAGCGUGAGUGACGGUAAUGGGUAAAGAAGCACCGGCUAACUACGG